This 462-nucleotide ribosomal RNA is filed under the name uncultured bacterium. Its description in RNAcentral is "bacterial SSU rRNA". It matches the Rfam family "Bacterial small subunit ribosomal RNA", at positions 30 to 484 of the family's 1533-position model. The record is from RNAcentral.
AUUGAACGCUGGCGGCAUGCCUUACACAUGCAAGUCGAACGGUAACGGGCCUUCGGGUGCCGACGAGUGGCGAACGGGUGAGUAAUGCAUCGGAACGUACCUUUCAGUGGGGGAUAACGUAGCGAAAGUUACGCUAAUACCGCAUAUCCUGUGAGCAGGAAAGCAGGGGAUCGCAAGACCUUGCGCUGAUUGAGCGGCCGAUGUCAGAUUAGCUAGUUGGUGAGGUAAAGGCUCACCAAGGCGACGAUCUGUAGCGGGUCUGAGAGGAUGAUCCGCCACACUGGAACUGAGACACGGUCCAGACUCCUACGGGAGGCAGCAGUGGGGAAUUUUGGACAAUGGGGGCAACCCUGAUCCAGCCAUGCCGCGUGAGUGAAGAAGGCCUUCGGGUUGUAAAGCUCUUUCGGCCGGGUAAGAAAGUACGCAUGGGUUAAUAACCUGUGCGGAUGACGGUACCGGCGA